UACCCGCUGAGUUUAAGCAUAUCAAUAAGCGGAGNAAAAGAAACUA
This 46-nucleotide ribosomal RNA is filed under the name Combretum collinum subsp. taborense. RNAcentral describes it as "partial 26S ribosomal RNA". The record is from RNAcentral. Lineage: Eukaryota; Viridiplantae; Streptophyta; Magnoliopsida; Myrtales; Combretaceae.